Molecule: ribosomal RNA, 500 nt
Filed under: uncultured Glomeromycotina
Lineage: Eukaryota; Fungi; Glomeromycota
Description: partial small subunit ribosomal RNA
Rfam family: Eukaryotic small subunit ribosomal RNA
Source: RNAcentral
CCAAUAGCGUAUAUUAAAGUUGUUGCAGUUAAAAAGCUCGUAGUUGAAUUUCGGGGUCAGUAGGUUGGUCAUGCCACUGGUAUGUACUGGUCUCACUGAUUCCUCCUUCCUGAUGAACUGUAAUGCCAUUAAUUUGGUGUUGCAGGGAAUCUGGACUGUUACUUUGAAAAAAUUAGAGUGUUUAAAGCAGGCUAACGCCUGAAUACAUUAGCAUGGAAUAAUGAAAUAGGACGUUCGAUCCUAUUUUGUUGGUUUCUAGGAUUGACGUAAUGAUUAAUAGGGAUAGUUGGGGGCAUUAGUAUUCAAUUGUCAGAGGUGAAAUUCUUUGAUUUAUUGAAGACUAACUACUGCGAAAGCAUUUGCCAAGGAUGUUUUCAUUAAUCAAGAACGAAAGUUAGGGGAUCGAAGACGAUCAGAUACCGUCGUAGUCUUAACCAUAAACUAUGCCGACUAGGGAUCGGAUGAUGUUAAUUUUUUAAUGACUCAUUCGGCGCCUUACG